UCGCGUCUAGUUAGCAAUUAUACAGCGAAACUGCGAAUGGCUCAUUAUAUAAGUUAUCGUUUAUUUGAUAGUACCUUACUACUUGGAUAACCGUGGUAAUUCUAGAGCUAAUACAUGCUAAAAAUCCCGACUUCGGAAGGGAUGUAUUUAUUAGAUUAAAAACCAAUGCCCUUCGGGGCUCACUGGUGAUUCAUAAUAACUUCUCGAAUCGCAUGGCCUUGCGCCGGCGAUGGUUCAUUCAAAUUUCUUCCCUAUCAACUUUCGAUGCUAGAGUAGUGUUCUAGCAUGGUUACAACGGGUAACGGAGGGUUAGGGCUCGACCCCGGAGAAGGAGCCUGAGAAACGGCUACUACAUCCAAGGAAGGCAGCAGGCGCGCAAAUUACCCAAUCCCGACACGGGGAGGUAGUGACGAUAAAUACUGAUACAGGGCUCUUUUGGGUCUUGUAAUUGGAAUGAGUACAAUUUAAAUCCCUUAACGAGGAACAAUUGGAGGGCAAGUCUGGUGCCAGCAGCCGCGGUAAUUCCAGCUCCAAUAGCGUAUAUUAAAGUUGUUGUGGUUAAAAAGCUCGUAGUAGAACCUUGGGUCUGGCUGACCGGUCCGCCUCACCGCGUGUACUGGUCCGGCCGGACUCCCACCAUAGUCUAACCGCAUGCCCUUCACUGGGUGUGUUGGCGAAACUAUAUUUUUACUUUGAAAAAAUUAGAGUGCUCCAGGCAGGCCUAUGCUCGAAUACAUUAGCAUGGAAUAAUAGAAUAGGACGUGUGGUUCUAUUUUGUUGGUUUCUAGGACCGCCGUAAUGAUUAAUAGGGACAGUCGGGGGCAUCAGUAUUCAAUUGUCAGAGGUGAAAUUCUUGGAUUUAUUGAAGACUAACUACUGCGAAAGCAUUUGCCAAGGAUGUUUUCAUUUAUCAGGAACGAAAGUUAGGGGAUCGAAGACGAUCAAAUACCGUCGUAGUCUAACCAUAACUAUGCCGACUAGGGAUCGGACAAGGUAUUUUUUGACUCGUUCGGCCCUUACAAAAAUCAAGUGCUGGGCUCCAGGGG
Molecule: ribosomal RNA, 1046 nt
Filed under: Colletotrichum gloeosporioides
Lineage: Eukaryota; Fungi; Ascomycota; Sordariomycetes; Glomerellales; Glomerellaceae
Description: SSU rRNA
Rfam family: Eukaryotic small subunit ribosomal RNA
Source: RNAcentral